AUGGCCGUUACUGUUGCUGGGUACCUGAAGGUUGUCAUAAUCUCCGACCAAGUAUUCAUGAUAAGUUCAGCUGGACAGAGUGUUUGCUUCACGAUACUCCUGCUGUUGAUCAUGUCUCCAGCAGUUAUUGUUGCAAGAGCUCAGAAGACGGAACCGAAACAGCGAGAAGAGCCAGCUCUAGCACUGUGCUUGUUGGAUCUGGUCAGGACAUGUCGUCGCACAAAUAAAACCUGA
This 234-nucleotide ribosomal RNA is filed under the name Triticum aestivum (bread wheat). RNAcentral describes it as "partial small subunit ribosomal RNA". Lineage: Eukaryota; Viridiplantae; Streptophyta; Magnoliopsida; Poales; Poaceae. The record is from RNAcentral.